GAUGAACGCUGGCGGCGUGCCUAAUACAUGCAAGUCGAGCGAACAGACGAGGAGCUUGCUCCUCUGACGUUAGCGGCGGACGGGUGAGUAACACGUGGAUAACCUACCUAUAAGACUGGGAUAACUUCGGGAAACCGGAGCUAAUACCGGAUAAUAUAUUGAACCGCAUGGUUCAAUAGUGAAAGACGGUUUUGCUGUCACUUAUAGAUGGAUCCGCGCCGCAUUAGCUAGUUGGUAAGGUAACGGCUUACCAAGGCGACGAUGCGUAGCCGACCUGAGAGGGGGAUCGGCAACACGGGAAUGGAAAAAGGGUCAAAACUCCUAGGGGAGGCAGCAGUAGGAAAUCUGCAGAAAGGGGCGAAAGCCUAACGGAGCAAGGCGGGGGGAGUGAUAAAGGUCUUCGGAUGGAAAAAAUCUGUAAUUAGGAAAAAACAAAGGAGUAAGUAACUAUGAACGUCUGAAGGGUACAAAAGAAGAAAGCAACGGCAAACUACGU
This 496-nucleotide ribosomal RNA is filed under the name uncultured bacterium. Its description in RNAcentral is "partial 16S ribosomal RNA". It matches the Rfam family "Bacterial small subunit ribosomal RNA", at positions 28 to 506 of the family's 1533-position model. The record is from RNAcentral.